AGAGUUUGAUUCUGGCUCAGGACGAACGCUGGCGGCGCGCUUAACGCAUGCAAGUCGAGCGAGAACCUGGCUUCGGCCAGGGGAAAGCGGCGAACGGGUGAGUAUCACGUGAGUUAUCCACCCUCAGUACCGGGAUAGCCCGAGGAAACUCGGAUUAAUACCGGAUGGCCCAACAGUUCUUCGGGACGGUUGGAAAAGGUAGCUUCGGCCUCCGACUGGGGACGAGCUCGCGGCGGAUUAGCUUGUUGGUGGGGUAAUGGCCUACCAAGGCGACGAUCCGUAGCUGGUCUGAGAGGACGAUCAGCCACACUGGGACUGAGACACGGCCCAGACUCCUACGGGAGGCAGCAGUGGGGAAUCUUGCGCAAUGGGCGAAAGCCUGACGCAGCGACGCCGCGUGGGGGAAGAAGGCUUUAGGGUUGUAAACCCCUUUCAGGAAGGACGAAGCUACUCGGGUUAAUAGCCCAGAGGGUGACGGUACUUCCAGAAGAAGCCCCGGCUAACUACGUGCCAGCAGCCGCGGUAAUACGUAGGGGGCAAGCGUUGUCCGGAUUUAUUGGGCGUAAAGAGCGUGUAGGCGGUUCGGUAGGUCCGUUGUGAAAACUCAAGGCUCAACCUUGAGACGCCGAUGGAAACCAUCGAACUAGAGUCCGGAAGAGGAGAAUGGAAUUCCUGGUGUAGCGGUGAAAUGCGCAGAUAUCACGAAGAACACCCGUGGCUAUGCGGUUCUCUAGUACGGUACUGACGCUGAGACGCGAAAGCGUGGGGAGCGAACAGGAUUAGAUACCCUGGUAGUCCACGCCGUAAACGAUGGGUGCUAGGUGUGGGGGGUGUCAACUCCCUCCGUGCCGAAGCUAACGCAUUAAGCACCCGCCUGGGGAGUACGGCCGCAGGCUAAUACUCAAUGAGUGACGGGG
This 917-nucleotide ribosomal RNA is filed under the name uncultured Actinomycetes bacterium. RNAcentral's name for it is "bacterial SSU rRNA". It matches the Rfam family "Bacterial small subunit ribosomal RNA", at positions 8 to 918 of the family's 1533-position model. Lineage: Bacteria; Bacillati; Actinomycetota; Actinomycetes. The record is from RNAcentral.